UGGGUGAAUAGCCAGCGGUAGAGCAUCUCCUUUACACGGAGGCGGUCGGGGUUCGAUCCCCUCUUCACCCAU
RNAcentral lists this transfer RNA (72 nucleotides) under Caudoviricetes sp. RNAcentral's name for it is "tRNA-Val". It matches the Rfam family "tRNA". From Rfam's summary of the family: Transfer RNA (tRNA) molecules are approximately 80 nucleotides in length. Their secondary structure includes four short double-helical elements and three loops (D, anti-codon, and T loops). Lineage: Duplodnaviria; Heunggongvirae; Uroviricota; Caudoviricetes. The record is from RNAcentral.